This 570-nucleotide ribosomal RNA is filed under the name Staphylococcus aureus. RNAcentral describes it as "partial 23S ribosomal RNA". It matches the Rfam family "Bacterial large subunit ribosomal RNA", at positions 2283 to 2854 of the family's 2925-position model. Lineage: Bacteria; Bacillati; Bacillota; Bacilli; Caryophanales; Staphylococcaceae. The record is from RNAcentral.
UCGCCUCCUAAAAGGUAACGGAGGCGCUCAAAGGUUCCCUCAGAAUGGUUGGAAAUCAUUCAUAGAGUGUAAAGGCAUAAGGGAGCUUGACUGCGAGACCUACAAGUCGAGCAGGGUCGAAAGACGGACUUAGUGAUCCGGUGGUUCCGCAUGGAAGGGCCAUCGCUCAACGGAUAAAAGCUACCCCGGGGAUAACAGGCUUAUCUCCCCCAAGAGUUCACAUCGACGGGGAGGUUUGGCACCUCGAUGUCGGCUCAUCGCAUCCUGGGGCUGUAGUCGGUCCCAAGGGUUGGGCUGUUCGCCCAUUAAAGCGGUACGCGAGCUGGGUUCAGAACGUCGUGAGACAGUUCGGUCCCUAUCCGUCGUGGGCGUAGGAAAUUUGAGAGGAGCUGUCCUUAGUACGAGAGGACCGGGAUGGACAUACCUCUGGUGUACCAGUUGUCGUGCCAACGGCAUAGCUGGGUAGCUAUGUGUGGACGGGAUAAGUGCUGAAAGCAUCUAAGCAUGAAGCCCCCCUCAAGAUGAGAUUUCCCAACUUCGGUUAUAAGAUCCCUCAAAGAUGAUGAGGUU